Anas platyrhynchos (mallard) is the source of this 13479-nucleotide non-coding RNA. The record is from RefSeq and is a predicted model, not a curated record. Lineage: Eukaryota; Metazoa; Chordata; Aves; Anseriformes; Anatidae.
UUUUCUGGGCUUCACAAGGUGGCUUCGAUCUUAUUUAUUUAUUUAUUUAUUUCCAUUGAAAUGCUUUUUGUGCAGCUAGAACGUAAAGCAGGAUGGAUGUCUCGAAUGUAAGAAAUGUGGCUUCCUAAGGGGAGUGGAAAAAAAGGCUUUCCGUGGAUUUUAAAGUAAUAGGGUUAAUCCACUGAAAUAGGUGUCUAUUUGCCAAAACGUGGUACACACAUAUUUUUCAAGUCCAUGUAUGUUAGAAGUAUCAUUAUCAUACUACAUCUCUAUCAAUUUAUUCAUCAGACAAACUCUCUUGAAAUUUACUGGUAAUAAAAAGCAUAUAUAUAUAUAUAUGUAUAUAUGUUGGGGUAGCUCAUUUCUCAGGGGGGAGCUUAUUUCUCAGUUGAUUUUGGUCAAUUUAGCUCCCCACCCUCCUGAGGGGUUUCAUGCAGGCUGACAGAUCUGUCGGAAAGUGGUGGUCUCUUCCUAACGAUGCUCAACUUGUACUGCUUGUACGCAGGGCUCAGGGCGGUUUGCCCAACGAGGUAACUUGCAUAAUAAUGGCUCAGCACUCCCCUAACAGGCUUGGAUGGCAGCCCAGAAUCUCUCUGCAGCCGAGGGUCAGUGUAAGAUUUCCUGAUUCACACUUUUUAAAAAACAUUUUCUGUUCCAAACUCUUGCUCCUGUUCUGGAGUUUUACUACCGCAGCUUUCCUUUGCAAAGAGUGGCCGCUUGUUCACCAGUGUGGCUGGAGAGCUGUUCCCCAAUGGCACGUCAUUUUAUUGAUUCAGGGUUUGGUGUUUAAAGUUCCGUCUGUGUUGGUGGAGCUGUUUGCACAGGCGUCGCAGGGCUGGGCUCACACUGCACGUGUGUGCCAGGCAGGAGGCUGGCAUGAGCCGAACCUACGCAUCUGAGAGGGUUCAUACAGGCACGUAAGUUAUUGGGUGAAGGAAAGGAUUCGAGGUGAAUGUUUACUCUGUGACUCAAAUACAAACCUGCAUAAGUGACAGAAAAGAAAGUUGAUUGCAACUUUAUCCUUAAGGAGAAAAGGUAAAAAAGGGAUGAGGUCAAUGUCCGCUGCCAACUGUGAACCCCACAAACACAGCGCUUUGCAUGAAGACCUCUGCUGAUGUCUGUAGGUUAACAACAUUCUGAGCCGGUCUUGUAGCUCCUGAAACUUGUGCAGCGCCUGAGCUUGGGCAGCUGGUUCCAGCACCAGGCACUGCGAGAGGUUGAGCAGGAUGGUUGUUCAGAAGGCCGAGGGUAAGACAACCUCCUCAGUCACCCUUUUAUUUCCUAGGAGGAAGGCUCAACAGUAUUUCUCCUCUGGGCAGCAGCAUGGGUACCAGAAGAUGUCAUCCAGCUGCAGCAGGAAACCUCCUGUGCCAUCUUGUCAGGGGUGUAGUCAUCAGGAGGUGCAUCACAGCUGCCUUUGAGGAAGAGGUGGAACAGCCUGUGCCUUCCAGGAUACGGUGCAGAGCUGCGACAUAAUAUUAAUACACAGAGACAUCUUUGAUGAAAAGGGAAGCAGUCCAGAAACCUAUAAAAGUAAGAGAAGAGGAGGACAGAAAGCAUUCCGCUUUGAUACAUCUCACCUCCAAAUGCUGCCCUGAUUCUGCUGCAGCUGAGCAAGUAGCAACCUAUGCCUGCUUUCCCCAAUAAAGUGUAUUGCACAGACAAUCAGGAAGAGAGGUAAUUUAUUGUCAUCUUUGCAAAGCUGAAGGUCCCUGGGGGAACUGACUCUCUCACACAGGCUGGGCAGUCACUGUCCAGGAGGUGACAGCGUGUUCUGUUGUAAGCCCGCUUGCGAUGGCAUCUUGGUCUGGGUUGGGUGAGAUUCCUCAGACUCUGCUUUUGAGGAAUUCCUCUAACGCAGCUUGCCCACAGUCCAGAACACAUGCACGAUUCCUCCACGACUGUUCCCAGGUGCGAGGAUCAAUUCCCACCGUCUUCUUCAGGUGCAGUGUACUCAGUUCUCCCCAGAGAACCUCUGGGCUGAGCAGAUUCUCUGCCCCAGAGCCUGAAAUUGUCACCCAGGCCAAACCAGUGCAAGGGGAACAGAGUGGGAAAGUCAUUCUGUAGCUGCUGUUGACUUAAAUUCCUGCUGUACAGGAAGGAUCGUCCACAAGAUGAAAUUUCUACUGCUGGGGGGUUUCAUUUCUCACAUUCCCUCCUUUUCUUCCCCAAGGGAUGAGGUCAAUGUCCGCUGCCAACUGUGAACCCCACAAACACAGCGCUUUGCAUGAAGACCUCUGCUGAUGUCUGUAGGUUAACAACAUUCUGAGCCGGUCUUGUAGCUCCUGAAACUUGUGCAGCGCCUGAGCUUGGGCAGCUGGUUCCAGCACCAGGCACUGCGAGAGGUUGAGCAGGAUGGUUGUUCAGAAGGCCGAGGGUAAGACAACCUCCUCAGUCACCCUUUUAUUUCCUAGGAGGAAGGCUCAACAGUAUUUCUCCUCUGGGCAGCAGCAUGGGUACCAGAAGAUGUCAUCCAGCUGCAGCAGGAAACCUCCUGUGCCAUCUUGUCAGGGGUGUAGUCAUCAGGAGGUGCAUCACAGCUGCCUUUGAGGAAGAGGUGGAACAGCCUGUGCCUUCCAGGAUACGGUGCAGAGCUGCGACAUAGUAAGUAGAAGCUGUUCUGACAGGCGUGCCUCGCCGUGAGCCUGAAGAAGCGCAGCUGAUGGUCAUGAUGUGAUGUUGUCUCUCACGGCGUGCUGACAGUGAAGCCAGCGCCUGCCUAGUUGGUACUGCAGCAUAAGGAGUCUGGUUCAGCUUCCUGCACAGCAAAAAUCAGCUCCAUGAAGAUGGUCCUCUGGGAGGUGGUUGUCAGCUGUAGCUUGCAGGAAUGGGAGGAGGGCAGCACUGUUAGCUGGCAGUGGUGCGACACAGGCAAAAGCACCCAGGCCUUUUUCACCGUUUCUUGGACCCAGGAGGCAACCUUCUCCGUGUCUAGGUAGGACUGGGUGCAGAGGGUGCUUAGGAGAUGCGAGGCCUGAUUCUUCCCCAGGUUGUCAUUGGGAUGGUGGAGGAUGCACUUCACGUCCCCCAGCAUCCUCUCCCUGGAGCACUCGCACUUCUGUUCUACACGGACGCCGGAGUGCCUCUUUGGCCGCUGCCCUGUGGGGUCCAAGUCAAGGAGGAAGGAGAACCCGGGAGGUGGAUCCAGGAACACGUGCAGGCUGUAGAAUAAGCAACCCUUCUGGACAUUCCAGCCAGUGUAGGUGUCAUUCAUCCCCAUGUCUAGGUGCAGCUGUGGCAUGAAAAUAUUCUUGGAAAGCAUUCGGCAGAUGCAGAGGAGGUCUCCUACUAGCUCCUUGCACACGAUGGUCACUUCCUGCAUGGGCCCAGGGGUGAGCUUUUCCGAAGGCCUGAAAGCACGCCGUGCACCACUGCGGUCUUUUAGCUCAUUGUCCUCUUCCCCCUCCUCCUCACUGCUGGAGCUGAUCUCCUUUCUGCUUCUGGCAGGCUUUGUCUUCCUUCGCCUGGCCAGCCAGCAGAGCCCACAGAACAGGACAAGGGCUCCAACAAUGGCCCAGAUAUGCCACUGCUGGAACACAGUGGAGAGCGUGGCUUCCUCAACAACCACCUUGUUCUCCAUCUCGUCUUGCAGCCGAGCCAUCUCCCGUCUCAGCUGCUCCUCACGCUUCCAUAUCCGCUCAAGCGUGGACAUGUCAGCCUGUUCGUUGACAUGCCCCACGUACUGGCUUCCCAGCACAGUCAGGACAAAGGCAAUCCACUCAGCCACGGCCUGGAGGAGGGGGGAGAGAAAGGGGGUUAGUGGGCCUGUCUGGAGGGAGCUGGCUGCUGGGGGAGUGGGGCUGGUAAGAGGGCUGGUCUUGGAGUGGGCAAAAGCAGGGCUUGUGAGCACUGUGUGGCUGGGUGUCAGCAGGCUUGAAGGGGACACAGGCCCCGGGUAGAGACUCCCCGAGAGUCCCUUUGCCCUUGCUCCCAGCCCCCAUGGCCGCACCGGGCCCUGCCCACGGUGUGGCCCGGAGUGUCUGGACCCCAGGUGCAGGCUCAGAACCCCCCCCCACCCCAGAUGCGUGCUGCGGCCCUUGCCCAGCCCAGCCUUCCCCCACACACCAUAUUCACAGAUCGCCCAAGUCCAAAUGAAACGGACUGCCUGGUGCUCGCUCCCUUAAGGACAGGUCUCCAUUGUGACUUGUCCUCUGAUGUGUGUGUGACAGGCGUCAGAGCCAUGUCAUAGACGUCCCACCGCCCAGCUGACGCACGGCUGCCUUGGGCACCAAGGCCCCGGCACCCCCAACCUACAAACCCAAGAGCAGUGAGCUCCUAGGGGCAGACAUUCCCUCCGAACUUUCCUUUAAUGGACAUUCUAGGUGGGUGUCCAUGACUUACACAGUGUGGUAAAUUUUUCUGAACCCGGUGGCCCUAAUCCACGUUGCCUUUACGCCAGUAGCUUUUGGGGGCCAUAAAACAGAGGCUGUUCUUGCUUCUCAUGAAAGUUGCCCUGGGAGCAGCGAGCACCUUGCAGUGACCCUGGCCUGGAGGGAUUCACCACUGUAACAGAUCUGGCAACGUUUGUCUUAUACUUGUACCUCGUGUGAUCUCUUCAGGUCAUACAGCUUUGGAGGUGUGGGUGGAAAGCAGUGCUUUUGCACAUGAGCAGUCUGUCAGCAGCCAGAGCACUACCUCCUGAAAAACUGAAUCUCCAGUCAUAAAAUUAAGAUAUUUUAAUUGGAAUACAGUAACACAGCAUGAUCUGUAGGUCUUUUUGUGUUUCUUAAUGUGAUGAUCCUCCAUCUGAAAGCAGCUCCUUGGGGAGAAGCAGCAAUAGCAAGGGAUGAAACUGAUGAUUGUAACAGUGUCCUUUGAAGCAAGUUUGCAAGUACCGGGGGUCCGAGUGAGCUCUCCAGAAGGCCAGAGAAAGAAAUAUAAGAAACGGUGAUGCUAAAGUACUAUGCAUAAAUCUAAUCUUUGCUAACCUACUUGCAAGUAUAAGGUUAUUUUAUGUCCACUCCUACGUCCAAGAAGAAACUCAGCCUUUGGCACUUCUUCCCAGAAAGCCAGUAGGAACCCUGCUGGUUUACUGGGAUUGUCCCUUUUACAGCAGGAUCAGAAGCUGGCUUUACAGCAUGUUUUCUCUGAGGUGACCCAGAGUGUUCGUAUUUUCCUGAAACUUUCCAUCUGUGUUACAUACACAGUGUGUCCUUCCUUCCUCAAUUGAACACAUCUGGACUGUACUUUUAAAGCCCUUGUGUAAAGUCUACUACUCAAACAGUGUAAAUCUUGAUAUGAUCAGUCAAACAAAUAUUUUUUAAAAGCUUUUCUGUAUAAUGUGACCUAGGGAAGUGCAUUAGCCAAGUAAAUAACCGUUUGUUGUUGGUGGUGGUGGUGUGUUUUAUUUUUGUUGUUGUUAUUUUGUUUGUUUGUUUUCCCAUUAACGACUGAUUUCUCUGUAAAUCUGUGAUUUCUCUGAUUUCUCUGACCUACAGUACUGCUUUCUGGGAAUAAAGUAGUACUGAUGAAGAGAAGAGAAUCUAAAAGAAAUAUGUAAUUUUUUCAUUCCAAAAAAUGUAUAAACAAAACCAGAGCACUGAGGUGUCUCUGUUUUUAUAUCCUUUAGAUUGACAUGCCUUUGAUGCUUUGUCUUCCUUUAUCUCCAGGUCAGAGGUAUCAUGCUGUACAUUAUAACUGCAACACUGUUUUCAUUUUUCUCAACAUCUAUGCAUAAGCUAUGCCUUUAAAAAGACAAAUUCAUCUUGUGGCUGCCUGCUCUGUGGCUUCUUAUAUAAUUUGAUGUAUAUUUAUUUAUGUCUUUCCAUUGCAAAGAAUGACAGUUUUUACCAAAAGAAAACAAGGCAUUCAUUCUCAUUUGUUUAGGGUUCCAAGAUGUAUCUUUGCAAAUAAUUUGUCUCCACAGCUUGCUUGAAGACUGAGAAUAGGAAAUAUAGAUCUUAGAUAAAGAAUAUGGCAAAGCAUGUAGCACUGGAGAUAAUCUUUUAUAAUCAAGGUUGGUCCAUGAUAGACUGUGCCUGUAGUUUUUAUACAAUUAUGCUUUUCUGAUGUGCAGAGGUAAGUAUGCAACCGUUGUAAAUUAAUAUUCAGCAGAUUUGUUAGCAUGCAGACCUUUGCAAGAUAAUCAAAAGAGCACUUAAAAAGUAUUGUAAUAAUAAAUUUCUUACAACAGAUGUUCCUUAGCAGAUUUUAUCUAUGUCAUUUCAGUGAUAAAUUCUUCUGACUUCUUAACCUUUAACUACAGUUACACAUUUACCUUUGGUUGUGAGAAAUAAAAAGAACUGAUAAGAAUUUUCUAAAAUUGAUUUAUCUGGAGGUCACUGAGUCUAUGACAAUGAAGAAAACAAAACAACAACAACAAAAAGCCCCUAAUAUUUACCAUGAGGUUAGAAAUUAUGUAAAAACAGUAAAAUGAUUAGAUCCUAUAAUGGGAAUUCUCCAAGUUCUUAAAGUUCUUGCAAGUUAUUAAGCCAAAAGUCUAAAUCUAAUCUUCCUAAGACAUGUUAUCCUCUGUUCACUCUUUAUUCAGAUAUGAUUUUAGUCUAGAAGACAGAUUAAAUGUGAGAUUCACAUCACAUAUUCUUUACUUUCUAAAAUUAAGGUAUAUGCAUCAAAACACUCAUCAAGGCUGUCUUUAUAAUUAAUAUAGAAAAAACUAUUCUAAAUGAAAACUUAUUUUAUAUGCCUUAAAUAGCUGUCUUAAAAUGGAGUGAACCAUAUCUAAAGUUGCUUAACUGUCAUGUUUAUUGUGGCUUAGUAGUGACAGAACCACAGGGUCAGUUUUGGCAUUAAUUUCUAGCUACAGGCUUUGUCCACAAAAAUAUUUUUUCCAUUUGCUUGGAUUCUAACUCUGUGUUCCAAGCAGUUUCUGCCCAGGGGUAUCCUUGUCAGCUAAGCUUAGACCUACCUAGAUCUUUGAAGAUAUGAGAAUUGCAUACCUAAAUGCUAUUGAGAAAGUAUUGUUCUACUCGUGCCUUUGCAAAGUAUAACUUGUAAUAGUAUUUAUUUCCUUCUUUCCACCUGAAACUGAAGUUUGUUAGAGACAUAAAUAGAGACUGUUAAUUUUUACUAGAAAAUUAAACAAUGUCAAGGAAUAUUUUAGCCCUGAUGUCAAGUGAUAUUGUCUGGUUUUGAUCUUAAGAUUAAACUCUUCCUCACAAACACAGUGGCAAAGUGCCUGUUGGAAGAGGUCCUUGGUUUCUGUUAAUAUCCAACCUUUGCUGAGAAUUACUUGAGAGAUGGCUAUUUGGCUCUGUCCAGUCUAGAAGUGAAUCAAACAGCAAGGAAAAUCACAUGUUCAUGUCAAUAACACUCACUUUCAUUUUUUUUAUUUUACUAAUAUAGUUGUGGAGAUAGAGGAGACAGAUUCUUUAAUAAGAGUAGCUAGAUUUUACUUGUCUUGGCAUGUAGAGCUCUGUGAACCUCUUAUCUGUAAAGUAAAAUUCUGUAAAAUAGAAACAUUACCUAAAUGAUAUAGAUAUUUAUGAAACUAUUUCUUCAGUCUUUACUGUGGCCCCAGGAACAUAGCUUAUAGUGUUCUGCAGUCUGUAGAAUUUUCUACUAUACAAUGUGAAAAGCAUCUGUAAAAUGGGAAAAAUAAGCAGAAAAGCAUACGGUGUCACUGCUUCCAUUUCUUCAGGAUGGUGAUGCACUAAUGAUGGAGAUAGAGAAGACAGUAGAAAAACGAGUAGGAAACUGUAGUAUUUUCUAGGCCUGCACACUUCUUUAACUUAUAAGAUCCUCAGAGUGAAGAAGAGCUGGACUACAGCCAUUAUAGAGUGCUUUCAGUGAUGAUGCUAGAAGGAUAUACAGCUGCCAAGCCAUUAUUGAAAUUAUCUAGAUUCUGCAUACCAAACUGAGUUGAGCUAAUGUGUACUGUGUAUACCUUUUAGUCUUUGCUCUUUCCACUAAAUGUAUACAUCAGCAAACUUAGGGCUGGGAGAUAGGUUAAUUAGAUGCUUUUCUUGGGGGGGGGGAAAUAAAAAAUAAAGGUCAUUUGAAACUGUGGUGGCUAUUGUUAAAGACACUAGAAGAAAAUGCAUAUGAAGGGAAGUGCAGUAGGGACAAGUUCAUAUCUUUUCCUUCCUCAGGAGAUAUUUAAGAAAGCCAAGGCUGAUAAGAAUAUGGGCAUGUCUGAAGUUGUUUAGUGGCUCUUACUGGAUUUUUCAAUGUUUUACUCUGAAUGAAUCUGAAAUGCAGUCAGAACUUGUUUGCAAUCAAAACCAACAAGAAGUCCUGCCAACAGACUGAGCUGCUUCAAACAAACAGCACCAGUUUAUAGGUUCAUAAAUAUUGGGUGCAGUGCUUUGAAAACUGUAUUGAGCAUUCCCAAAUGCCAUGGUGGCAGCUGAGCAAAGAUUAAAAGAGUAAUGGGGGAAAAAAAUCCAGCUGCCUGUGUUUGUGGGGAAGAACCUCUCAAGCAGCAAAAACAAAAGACAAUCUAAGCAUAGUUUAUGCAUAGUAGUUUGAAGAAUAUAUACACUUUACCCCACACCUGAUUUUCUUUUGUUCUGAGAGAAUGAGGUGACUCAUAAUAAUCAAGCUCCAUAGAGCUCAUAAAACAGAGGAGACAGGCUCCACAUUAGGGUGUCAAUAAGUAUUUAUCCCAAGAAUUAAUGCAUUUUUCACAAGCUCAGUGCUUAUUUUCUGUCUGGUUAAUAACAUAGACAAUAUGCCUUUGUUGGCUGUGUAGCAGAGCUGAAGAAAAGCAGUUUGUAAAUGAAGGCACAAUUCAAGGUAGGAGGAGUAGAGGAAUGGUUGGACUGUGCCUAUUGUGUAGUAUUCCUUUAGCGGACUAUACUUUUAUGAUACUUUUAUGACUUCUGAUGUCACUUCAGAGUGUUUUUUUGUUUUGUUCUGUUUGUUUGUUUUCUGGGUUGAUAUUUGAGAUAGUAGAUUUGGAUAUCAGAAACCUAGGAAGAGCCUUCUUUCUGUAUCAUGAUCAUGCUGAAUUAUAGAUAUCUGGCUACUUCUGUAUCUAACAGCUUUCAUAUCAUAAUUUUUGGAGGUAGAAAUUUUACAAGUUCAUCUAAGAAAAGCUUAGAACCUGGAGAGGAUUUAUUCUUGGUUGCUGUGAAGUAACUACAACUCCAUGCGAUAAUUUUCACUGGUUUUAUUUUCUGUGAUUCGCUGUAGUUUACAUUCUCAAUAUAAAUGCAUCUUUCUUCAGUGAAACACUUUGCUGGUCACAUUUAAAAUGGAAGAAGGGAAGGAACAGAGGAUUAUCAUAAACUGAGGAUGUAAAGUCUUUGGGAUGUAGUUUGUUUGGAGUAAGGUUAAUUUUAAGAUGAGGUGUGUAUUGGCUUGUAAUAGAUGGUUGAGCUCAGGUUGGAGUGAAAGAAUUUAGUUGAAUUUGGAUGAGUUUUCCUAAUUAAUUUGCAGUAUGUGUAUAUUAAUUAUUUUUUAUUUAUUUUAUUUGCAUGGUAAUAAAGCAUUCCCAAAUUUCAUAGCCAUUCUGGAACUAAGAGGUAGACUUCAGACCUUGGCUUUCAGUUAAAUUCCUAUCAAUUCUCAAAUCUGAAUAACCUCAUAUCUUAAGUCUGUACUUGCAAAUAGUUGUUUCUUUAGUAGGUACAUUUUCUUAAAAUUACAUUUAGAAGGGGCGAUGUAUACAUUUGUCAACAUGUAUGGUACUCUUCUACUUGCGUCAUUUGUUUUUAGGGUAAUCAACGUAGUAUCCUGACACACUGGUAAUGGUGAUCAAAUGGGUUUAGCAACAGAGUGUCUGAGGAAGUGCGAGUUAGAAGCUGCUGUUUUGCAGAGACAAUGGAAGUUGCUCUCUGAAUUACUUCCCCUGUUAUUUCUCCAGUCUGGUGAGAUUCGUGAGUGUCAUAAAAUGAACUGUGCUACACUGAGACUGCCUUCUCACUGCGGCUGUUCAGUAUGAAUAAAGGAAAGUGACUGAUUCUGUGUAACUCACAAGCAAUUAUAGCAGUGAAGGUGAGAGUGGGACUGUAAAUAAUCGAAGUAAAUGAGAAGGCAGAAUGCUCUCGAGCUUUUCUCACCUAACAACACAAAAGUGAAGGGCAAGGGUAAAGCAGUUUGCACUAGUUGAGGAAACUUAUUAACUUAUUCAUUGAGAAGAAAAAGCAAGUGAAAGGGCACCUUCCACAUCAGUAUUUGAAGGAGGUUGUAAUAGCAUUUUUAAUGAGGAUGAGGCAUAGGCAGAAAGAAGGGUUCAUCUUUCUAGAGGAAUGAUCACACAGGAUUGCCUGGCUCAUCACAUAGCGCAACAACAGUCCGUCAGGCAGGAGGUAGACUUGUGUGACUCCUUUCAGAGAUGCAGACACUGGAGCCAGGCAUAGCUCUUUGUCAAUACAUUGCAUGUCACUCCCUCCCUUUAACGAGUUGAUCUUAGCAGGAGAGGAGAUAAUGUUUGUCCAUCUAGGGCAUCUAGUAGGACUGCUAUUUUGGGCAACAUUUAGAGCCUAACCUGGGUCAGGCAGUUGUGUCCUAAUCCAGCCUGUCAGCUCUAAUGUGGUCCUGUCAAUGUCUUCCAGUGUGAUACAAGAGAGCCUUGGCAUCCUAUUUGAGCUCCAAGCUGUCUGUAAAAUGUGGACAAUAUAGUUUACUGUAUAGUCAACCAUUCCUGUUGUUAAAAUAUUACCUAAAUAUUAUUAAUGGCUAUAUAUGUAGCAAAAGAAUUAAUUAAAAUGAUCUCCUGAAAAUACCAGCUCCCAUUCUGGUAGUGGCUUCAAAUCUCACUAUUGUGAAUCUGUGUUUGAAAAUCUUUUUUUGUAUUCUUGUGUGUCAGAUUUGAGCAAGGGUCAGACUUUGGCUCAGAAGCUCAGUAUUGCCACAUGCAUAAACAAGAAAGGAUGUUAGGAGAAGGGUAGAAUGGGAGAAUACAACUUGAGAAGAUAGCUAUCAAUACAUCACAUCAUAUUCAGAGUUCAGAGUUUACUAAGCUGUAGCAGCUCACUCACUAGUGGACUUUGAGGCAGUUACAGACAUCUCAAAACAAAACAAUAACAAAACCACCAUACUGCUUAAUGAGUGUUUUCAAGGAAAAAAAAAAUAAUCACAUUGAUCUGUGAUAAAUUUGCUGUGGCCUGUAACAAAUUCUGAAAUGUGGCAAUAACCUGCUGCAGAGCUGGCCCCUUAUUUAAAGGUUCUGGUCUUCUGCAGACAGUCCUGCAAAUGAUGGACUAGAAUGUGAAAUAAUUGCGGGGGUGAACAUUAUGGAAGUAAUGUACUUAAAAUGAAAUUUCUUCCAAACAUAAAAUAGUUAAGGUUUUCCCUGAAGUACAAAUAUUUUCAUCUCUUUAUCGUUUUCUUCCCAUCUGAUUUAAUUAUUCAGAAUUAAAUUAUUUAUUCAAAAGCCCAAUUCUUAAAUAUUUUGUUAAGACUAGAUACCUGGCUCCAGUAGUAUUGUGUGAAGAAGAACUCAGCUGGUUAAUUAAAUGCAUUAUUAAGAAGUGUCCAGGGAAUCUUUUGGAUUGGCAAAAUCAAAAUAAUCAAAAAAAAAAAGAAUAGGACAAAGUAAAGAAACUGACUCCUAAUAGGAACAAUACGGGCCAAAAAUAUCUAAUUAUUUUUGAAGAUAGAAAAUUAUGAGAUAGAUUAUAGGGUGUGGGUACUUAGGAUCUGAAGGAAUGGACUUGGAGUAUGAGGAUAUGACUUCCGAUUCACUGUUUCUGUACAGUUAUUAUGCUGCUUCAACUUUAAAUGUUUGAGCUGAAAACAGAAGAACAGCAGGAACAUCUGUGGCCUCUCAACACGGCACCUGUGUUUAAACCAUUAAACCACCUGUUUAAAAAGGUGUAACUAAUACUAUCCUAACUCAUUACAGAUAAAAAUCUGGCUGUAGGUGCCACAUUGGAUUAAUGAAAAUAAAUUAAAUAAAGAAAUAAAAUAAAUAGUUAAAUAAAUAUCGAUAAAAUAAAAAAGUAUUCAUUUUGGAAACUUUAACCUGCAAAGACCUCAGUGCAAGUAGUUUCCUGGCAACGAAGAAUGUUCUUAUAUAGAGCAGCUAACACUGAGUGAGGAUGCCAGAUCUGGGCCAAAAUCAAUUAAAAUCAGAGAAAGUAACAGUUGACUUUGUUAUAAGAAAAAUAACUUUUUUCUUAUUUCUUCCUACUCCAGAAGAAAACCUGCUACUAGGAAAUUAGUAGAUAUUUACCAGCCUUCUGCCUGAAUUUCAUUUGUUCGUUUCUCUCCCUACUUGAAGUUGAAGGCUUUCCUUUCAGAAAAUAGUUCAUAGGCUUGCAUUUACUGAAAAAGAAAAAAAAAAAGAGAAAAAAAAGAAAAAGAAAAGAAAAGGGAGAAAUAGAAGCUUUUCAACUUAGUUGCCUAAUGAGUAAAUGCAUUGAACAGAAAUUCUCUUUUGUCUUUCUACUUCUUUUGAGUUCUCUGUUUUUGAGUCGAAAACGAAACAAAGCAAAACAAAAACAAAAGAAAACACCCCACCAACAUUUUUUGGCUGUGAUCAUAAAGAUAUGACUUUCUGGCCAUGACAGGAAUUGUUCGUGAGUGCUGAAAACCAUCAUACAGACAUUUGACUUCAUGGAAUACUGUCUCAUAAAGACAUCUAAACUGUAGUACAAAACUCACUGAAUCAAAGGUUCACUCUUGCUCUUUGCCUGAGUUUUAAGACAUUGUUUUGGUUUAAAACUUUAGCACAAAACUCCUAACACCCUUUAGAAAAGUUAAAGCAUCACUACACAUUUUAAAUAUCUGUGUAAUUUCUUCUUUUCAAGUACUCUGUGGUAAAACACCUGCUCUUACUGAAAUACCAUCAAUUUUAUUUAUUUAUUUAUUUAUCUAUAUAUCUAUCUAUUUAUUUAUUUAUUUUCCCCCAGCUAACCUUAUGCAACAACCAAGUAUCUAACAAAUAAGGUGGUUGUUUCAGGUGACAUGAAUGAAUUAAACCUUUUGCAUUCUACCUGCAUGUCUGUCAUUACGUUAGGCUUUUCACCGGUAGUUCACACAUCACAGAAGGAGAUUUGCUCAAUUUGCCUUCCAUGUAAGCUUACAGUUUACAGAUAAAGUACAGGUCAGGAAUCAUGGCCAUUUAUAAUUUCCUGUACACCUUAAGGAAAGAUAAUUCAACAUUGCUAAAGAGUGUUGGUUAUGCAGUGAACUUUCCAGCUUGCAUUGAGUCAGAUUAGCCUAUACAGUUUCACUAGAUUUAAAUCUGUGUUUCUUGCAUAAUGAAAAAAAAAAUUGCUCAAUGAAAUAAUCCAGUGGUGUAUCCAUAUAUAAAAGUCCAUGACCAAGUUCAUAUCUUAUUUAAUUCCACUGACAUUUUUAGACUCACACCGUGGAUGAAUUUUUCUUGUUCAGUGUACCCUGUCACUAUUUUCCAUAUUAAUAUUAAUGGAAUUGCCAUAGUAUCUUGGUUUUUCUUCUAGCAUUAUAACUGUGCACUCGAUAAAUAAAAUAUAGCAUUAACAAGAUAAAUAACUGAGAUUGGCAUGUGUAUGUAUCCAGUGUACACAGAAAAUGUUGGAAUUUCAUUAUAACUGCUUGGGGAAAAAUUUAUAAUAUCUAAAUAAGUAAAGUCAGAUUUUAAUUCUC